GUGGGGAAUAUUGGACAAUGGGCGGAAGCCUGAUCCAGCCAUGCCGCGUGUGUGAAGAAGGCCUUUUGGUUGUAAAGCACUUUAAGCGAGGAGGAGGCUCCUUUAGUUAAUACCUAAAGUGAGUGGACGUUACUCGCAGAAUAAGCACCGGCUAACUCUGUGCCAGCAGCCGCGGUAAUACAGAGGGUGCGAGCGUUAAUCGGAUUUACUGGGCGUAAAGCGUGCGUAGGCGGCUUUUUAAGUCGGAUGUGAAAUCCCUGAGCUUAACUUAGGAAUUGCAUUCGAUACUGGGAAGCUAGAGUAUGGGAGAGGAUGGUAGAAUUCCAGGUGUAGCGGUGAAAUGCGUAGAGAUCUGGAGGAAUACCGAUGGCGAAGGCAGCCAUCUGGCCUAAUACUGACGCUGAGGUACGAAAGCAUGGGGAGCAAACAGGAUUAGAAACCCGUGUAGUCC
RNAcentral lists this ribosomal RNA (451 nucleotides) under uncultured bacterium. RNAcentral's name for it is "partial 16S ribosomal RNA". It matches the Rfam family "Bacterial small subunit ribosomal RNA", at positions 354 to 796 of the family's 1533-position model. The record is from RNAcentral.